Molecule: long non-coding RNA, 108 nt
Organism: Maniola jurtina (meadow brown)
Lineage: Eukaryota; Metazoa; Arthropoda; Insecta; Lepidoptera; Nymphalidae
Exons: 3
Source: RefSeq, a predicted model, not a curated record
AUGUCACUCUUCUCUUAAGGCGCUUCGCCCACGUCCGACAAAUCGGUGACGGAUUUUUUGGUCGGCAAAAAAUGAAACAUACAAAUUGCAAUAUUGAAACGCACACGU